RNAcentral lists this ribosomal RNA (444 nucleotides) under uncultured bacterium. RNAcentral's name for it is "partial 16S ribosomal RNA". It matches the Rfam family "Bacterial small subunit ribosomal RNA", at positions 338 to 795 of the family's 1533-position model. The record is from RNAcentral.
CCUACGGGAGGCAGCAGUGGGGGAUAUUGGACAAUGGGGGGGAACCCUGAUCCAGCGACGCCGCGUGAGUGAAGAAGUAUUUCGGUAUGUAAAGCUCUGUCAGCAGGGAAGAAAGCAAUGACGGUACCUGACCAAGAAGCCCCGGCUAACUACGUGCCAGCAGCCGCGGUAAUACGUAGGGGGCAAGCGUUAUCCGGAAUUACUGGGUGUAAAGGGGGCGUAGACGGCUGUGCAAGUCUGGAGUGAAAGGCGGGGGCCCAACCCCCGGACUGCUCUGGAAACUGUAUGGCUGGAGUGCGGGAGAGGUAAGCGGAAUUCCUAGUGUAGCGGUGAAAUGCGUAGAUAUUAGGAGGAACACCAGUGGCGAAGGCGGCUUACUGGACUGUAACUGACGUUGAGGCUCGAAAGCGUGGGGAGUAAACAGGAUUAGAUACCCUUGUAGUC